This 432-nucleotide ribosomal RNA is filed under the name uncultured bacterium. RNAcentral's name for it is "bacterial SSU rRNA". It matches the Rfam family "Bacterial small subunit ribosomal RNA", at positions 29 to 507 of the family's 1533-position model. The record is from RNAcentral.
AACGAACGCUGGCGGUAUGCCUAACCCUUGCAAGUCAAACAAGACCUUCAGCUUUUUUGGCCCACGGGAGCAUAACUCGGGGAAACCUGCCCCUUGUUCCGCAAUACGGUAAGAAUGGACUGCAAUUACCGGAUGAGGCCUUCGGACCAAACAUUUACCCCCAAGGGAAGACCCCCCCUAGGAUUAGCUCCUUGGUGAGGGAAAAGCUCCCCAAGGCAACAAUCCUUAGCUGGCUUGAGGGGGUGAUCCCCCACAUUGGACCUAAGACACGGCCCACACUCCUACGGGAGGAAACGGUGGGAAAUAUUGAAGAAGGGGUUAAAGCCUGAUCUGGCAAUGCCGCGGGAGUGAUGAAGGCCUAAGGCUUGUAAAGCUCUUUUACCCGGAAUGAUAAUGACCGUACUGGCAGAAUACGCCCCGCCUAAUUCGGUG